RNAcentral lists this unclassified non-coding RNA (353 nucleotides) under soil metagenome. Its description in RNAcentral is "partial contains 5.8S ribosomal RNA, internal transcribed spacer 2, and large subunit ribosomal RNA". The stretch from base 1 to 120 matches the Rfam family "5.8S ribosomal RNA", at positions 35 to 154 of the family's 154-position model. The record is from RNAcentral.
GAUGAAGAACGCAGCGAAAUGCGAUAAGUAAUGUGAAUUGCAGAAUUCAGUGAAUCAUCGAAUCUUUGAACGCACAUUGCGCCCGCCAGUAUUCUGGCGGGCAUGCCUGUUCGAGCGUCAUUACAACCCUCAGGCCCCCGGGCCUGGCGUUGGGGAUCGGCGGAAGCCCCCUGCGGGCACAACGCCGUCCCCCAAAUACAGUGGCGGUCCCGCCGCAGCUUCCAUUGCGUAGUAGCUAACACCUCGCAACUGGAGAGCGGCGCGGCCACGCCGUAAAACACCCAACUUCUGACUGUUGACCUCGAAUCAGGUAGGAAUACCCGCUGAACUUAAGCAUAUCAAUAAGCGGAGGA